ACUGAACGCUGGCGGCAGGCCUAACACAUGCAUGUCGAGCGGAUGAAGGGAGCUUGCUCCUGGAUUCAGCGGCGGACGGGUGAGUAAUGCCUAGGAAUCUGCCUGGUAGUGGGGGAUAACGUCCGGAAACGGGCGCUAAUACCGCAUACGUCCUGAGGGAGAAAGUGGGGGAUCUUCGGACCUCACGCUAUCAGAUGAGCCUAGGUCGGAUUAGCUAGUUGGUGGGGUAAAGGCCUACCAAGGCGACGAUCCGUAACUGGUCUGAGAGGAUGAUCAGUCACACUGGAACUGAGACACGGUCCAGACUCCUACGGGAGGCAGCAGUGGGGAAUAUUGGACAAUGGGCGAAAGCCUGAUCCAGCCAUGCCGCGUGUGUGAAGAAGGUCUUCGGAUUGUAAAGCACUUUAAGUUGGGAGGAAGGGCAGUAAGUUAAUACCUUGCUGUUUUGACGUUACCAACAGAAUAAGCACCGGCUAACUUCGUG
Molecule: ribosomal RNA, 484 nt
Filed under: uncultured bacterium
Lineage: Bacteria
Description: partial 16S ribosomal RNA
Rfam family: Bacterial small subunit ribosomal RNA
Source: RNAcentral